GAUGAACGCUGACAGAAUGCUUAACACAUGCAAGUCCACUUGAAUUUGGGUUUUUAACUUAGGUUUGGGUGGCGGACGGGUGAGUAACGCGUAAAGAACUUGCCUCACAGCUAGGGACAACAUUUGGAAACGAAUGCUAAUACCUAAUAUUAUGAUAAUAGGGCAUCCUAUAAUUAUGAAAGCUAUAAGCGCUGUGAGAGAGCUUUGCGUCCCAUUAGCUAGUUGGAGAGGUAACGGCUCACCAAGGCGAUGAUGGGUAGCCGGCCUGAGAGGGUGAUCGGCCACAAGGGGACUGAGACACGGCCCUUACUCCUACGGGAGGCAGCAGUGGGGAAUACUGGACAAUGGACCGAGAGUCUGAUCCAGCAAUUCUGUGUGCACGAUGAAGUUUUUCGGAAUGUAAAGUGCUUUCAGUUGGGAAGAAACAAAUGACGGUACCAACAGAAGAAGUGACGGCUAAAUACGUG
This 467-nucleotide ribosomal RNA is filed under the name uncultured bacterium. RNAcentral describes it as "partial 16S ribosomal RNA". It matches the Rfam family "Bacterial small subunit ribosomal RNA", at positions 28 to 507 of the family's 1533-position model. The record is from RNAcentral.